Molecule: ribosomal RNA, 497 nt
Filed under: uncultured bacterium
Lineage: Bacteria
Description: partial 16S ribosomal RNA
Rfam family: Bacterial small subunit ribosomal RNA
Source: RNAcentral
GAUGAACGCUGGCGGCGUGCCUAAUACAUGCAAGUCGAGCGAACAGACGAGGAGCUUGCUCCUUUGACGUUAGCGGCGGACGGGUGAGUAACACGUAGGUAGCCUACCUAUAAGACUGGGAUAACUUCGGGAAACCGGAGCUAAUACCGGAUAAUAUUUCGAACCGCAUGGUUCGAUAGUGAAAGAUGGCUUUGCUAUCACUUAUAGAUGGACCUGCGCCGUAUUAGCUAGUUGGUAAGGUAACGGCUUACCAAGGCAACGAUACGUAGCCGACCUGAGAGGGUGAUCGGCCACACUGGAACUGAGACACGGUCCAGACUCCUACGGGAGGCAGCAGUAGGGAAUCUUCCGCAAUGGGCGAAAGCCUGACGGAGCAACGCCGCGUGAGUGAUGAAGGUCUUCGGAUCGUAAAACUCUGUUAUUAGGGAAGAACAAACGUGUAAGUAACUGUGCACGUCUUGACGGUACCUAAUCAGAAAGCCACGGCUAACUACGUG